AAGAAAAGGGUCUAGACCCCACACACGCCACUCGGUAAGGAAUUGGGCCUAUAGCUCAGCUGGCUAGAGCACACGACUGAUAAUCGUGAGGUCAGUGGUUCGAGUCCACUUGGGCCCACCAAAUGGGGCUGUAGCUCAGUUGGGAGAGCACCUGCUUUGCAAGCAGGGGGUCACCGGUUCGAGACCGGUCAGCUCCACCACAGGGAUGGAAGGCCCGCAAAGAGCGCGGGCUGGUCGCUGGGGAAGCGGUAUGGAAGUGAUUUGGGAUUGGAUUUUUAGUGUGUAGUGCUGAAUGACGCUUUACGGAUGUAGGAAGUUAAAAGGCGCUAUUGAUCACUGCCCACUCGGAAGAUUUGAGUGCGUUAGUUUGUUCUUUGACAGUUGAGGAAGGGAAGGCCAUGUUUGCCAUCUUGCCGAUGGCGGACCUCCAGGUGGAGGCUUGGGGAUAUAU
Molecule: transfer RNA, 451 nt
Filed under: Acidithiobacillus ferrooxidans
Lineage: Bacteria; Pseudomonadati; Pseudomonadota; Acidithiobacillia; Acidithiobacillales; Acidithiobacillaceae
Description: partial 16S-23S ribosomal RNA intergenic spacer
Rfam family: tRNA (bases 45-118)
Source: RNAcentral